Molecule: ribosomal RNA, 415 nt
Filed under: uncultured bacterium
Lineage: Bacteria
Description: bacterial SSU rRNA
Rfam family: Bacterial small subunit ribosomal RNA
Source: RNAcentral
UUUAAUUCGAAGCAACGCGAAGAACCUUACCAAAUCUUGACAUCCUUUGACAACUCUAGAGAUAGAGCCUUCCCCUUCGGGGGACAAAGUGACAGGUGGUGCAUGGUUGUCGUCAGCUCGUGUCGUGAGAUGUUGGGUUAAGUCCCGCAACGAGCGCAACCCUUAAGCUUAGUUGCCAGCAUUAAGUUGGGCACUCUAAGUUGACUGCCGGUGACAAACCGGAGGAAGGUGGGGAUGACGUCAAAUCAUCAUGCCCCUUAUGAUUUGGGCUACACACGUGCUACAAUGGACAAUACAAAGGGCAGCUAAACCGCGAGGUCAUGCAAAUCCCAUAAAGUUGUUCUCAGUUCGGAUUGUAGUCUGCAACUCGACUACAUGAAGCUGGAAUCGCUAGUAAUCGUAGAUCAGCAUGCUA